CCUACGGGAGGCAGCAGUGGGGAAUAUUGGACAAUGGGCGAAAGCCUGAUCCAGCCAUGCCGCGUGUGUGAAGAAGGUCUUCGGAUUGUAAAGCACUUUAAGUUGGGAGGAAGGGUUGUAGAUUAAUACUCUGCAAUUUUGACGUUACCGACAGAAUAAGCACCGGCUAACUCUGUGCCAGCAGCCGCGGUAAUACAGAGGGUGCAAGCGUUAAUCGGAAUUACUGGGCGUAAAGCGCGCGUAGGUGGUUUGUUAAGUUGGAUGUGAAAGCCCCGGGCUCAACCUGGGAACUGCAUCCAAAACUGGCAAGCUAGAGUACGGUAGAGGGUGGUGGAAUUUCCUGUGUAGCGGUGAAAUGCGUAGAUAUAGGAAGGAACACCAGUGGCGAAGGCGACCACCUGGACUGAUACUGACACUGAGGUGCGAAAGCGUGGGGAGCAAACAGGAUUAGAUACCCCGGUAGUC
This 465-nucleotide ribosomal RNA is filed under the name uncultured bacterium. RNAcentral's name for it is "bacterial SSU rRNA". It matches the Rfam family "Bacterial small subunit ribosomal RNA", at positions 338 to 795 of the family's 1533-position model. The record is from RNAcentral.